AGCUACUCGGAAGGUGGCUGGGAGGUUGGGGCUGCAGUGAGCCAUGAUCAUGCCACUGCACUCUACCCUGGGUGACAGAGUGAGACUGUUAUAAAACAAACAAACAAGAAAAAACCUUUCCCCAAGGGCUCAGUGGUCUGGGAGAGAGGGCAAGAAGCUAAAACAAGAUCUCUGCAACCAGAUAUUCUGAUUCCUUUGGCCUUGGUAAUGGGGUAUAAAAGAACACCCAAUACUGCAUUAACGUACUGUGGCUGUGUUUUCCAAAAAGGCCACAGCGACACUUCUAGUCUCAUAUGCUCUUGCAGAACCUUGCCACCCACUACCAAGAAGUAGAGUCUGUUUCCUCUCCUGCUGAAGCUGAGCAGGGCUUGGUGGCCGCCUGUAAUGUGAUGGAAGUGACACCGGCGUGACCUGCAAGGGCGAGGUCGCAGCCUACGAUAGCAGUUCUUCCUGGUCCACACUCUCAGGCUGCUCAUCCUAGGAACCCUGGUACCAUGUUAUGAGAGGCUUAGACCACUGGAGAGGCCGUGUGUAGCUGUCAUGGCCCAUCAGGCCCCCAGCCAGCAUCAACUGCAACAUGAGACCGUGAGCCUUCAGAUGACUGGCUCCAGCUUUCCAGUCUUCCCAGCCGAGGCCUCAGGCUUCGAGGAGCAGAGACAAGCCUUCACUGUGCCCUGCCUGAAUUCCUGACCUGCAGAAGUGGUGAGAAUAAGUGGUUGUUUAACGCCACUAAAUUUCUGAGUGAUCUGUUACGGAAAAAGCACUUAAACAUAAAAAGGUCCUAUCUGGCCUCUAUUGAAAGUAACAUAUGCAUUGUUCUGGGUUUCAUGUUUUGAUUCUUUGCACAGGGAAGUUGAAAUCUAUCCAGAGGACAGUGACAAGCACAGGUGUGAGAGAGACACCAUCUGUGACCUGCACCUGGGGGUCUGGCUUCAAAAUGUGUCCUCAGCGGAUACUCUUGGGAUGGCUCAGCUAAAAGGCAGCUGUCACCUCUGAGAGGCUUGUUACUGAAUAUUAUACGACGAAACCACCCUGGUGGCCAAACUUUGAGAAUGGCUUGAUAAACACCCACCUCCAUUCUACAUCACUGGCGUUCUGUUCCUUCUGAAUCCUCUGCAGACUAGAGGCUCUAACGGAGCUAAGUGCUGGGCCUGGAGGUUCCAUGCUCUGCUUCAGGUCAAUGAAGAAUGCCAGUGACAGAGGCGCUUGUGAGAGCUCUUGGUUUUGGUUUUCCAGUAGCCACAGAAACCAGGAAGGAGCAGAAGGAAGACACGGAACUGCCUCCACCCUCCUCUCAUCCCCUACCCCGAGCAGCUUGUAAGAAUCAUUUACUCAUGUUUCCUGUAAGACUCCAUUUGAACAGAGAGUUCUACCAGCAAAUACGUCUACAUAUUGAUUUUUCUUAAAAUGAAAUGCGGCCGCUCUUCAGUGCCACAGCAGAGGUAGGUCCUUUUGAGUUUGGAAUGCUCAUAACACCCACCGUGUGCUUUGUGACAAUGCAAUUAUCUGAUCACUUUUCUCUACCCAAGCUACUAUCCUGCUGGCCUCAGAAGGAUGAGAGGCAGGUGGACAGCGCUGUCACACUGCAGUUACCCCAGCUGAAGCCAGCAGCCAACCCCCAGCCACAGAAGGAAGCCUGAUCUAUAACGAGCAGAGCCAAUCGCCAGCUGACCUCAGUCAUGCACCACCUUAGGAACUGGACAGCCCGUGGUGACCUGGACAGAAAGGUGGCAGCCCCUCUGCACUUCAGGUCUUGGUGGAGAAGGCCCACCAUAACAGUGUAGCUACAAAAUGUGGAGUAUCAGAGGGUCCCACCACACUGACUUUAAUCCAACGAAGGGACAGCUCUGUUCUGGACUCCGCACAAAUGUCGAGGUCACGAAGAACAAGAAAGAUUGAGAACGUGUUCCAGAUUGAAGGAAAUUAGAGAUGUGACACUGAAUACACCUUAUGAUCUGGGAUGGGAUCCUAGACCCCAGGACAUUAGUGGCAAGAUCUGAGUAAGCCUCGUAGGUAAGAUGAUAGCACUGCUGUCAUUAACUUCCUGAUUUAAGUAACUGCACUGCUGCUCUAUAAUAAAGGGUCUUUCUUAGAAAAUGCAUGCUGAAGAACUGAUGGCCAAAAGAGCAUGAUGUCUGCAACUCACUCUCAAAUGGUUUCUAGAAAAAAGUAAUAGCAUGUAUACAAAUGGAAAACGAUCAAACAAAUAGAAAACGGUAACAAGUGGAGAACCUGAGGGAAGGGGAGAUGGGCAGUUCUUUGUACUGUUCUUGAAAAGUUUUUGUAAGCCUGGGAUUAUUUAUAAACAAAAAGUUACAAAAAUAUAUAAUUAAGAGACUUAAAUCAUCCAAUACUUCUACAAACACUAAAAAGAUAGCACCCAAUUCACAAGUAGUGGAUUAAGCAAUGCUAACUUGACCACUUUAAUACAUAUGUAUUUGAGCUGCAGUAGGCUCGUCUUGAAAGAUUCUACUGGGAAAUAGUAAGAUUUAUUUGGCAUUCUGAUGGUUUGGGGAAUCUGGGGAUACUUCAUCAUCUGUGGAAGGCUAGAAGCAGUGCUUCUUUGGAACGUGCUUCCCAUCUGUCGCCCCACCCUGCCAUCUGAGAACCACUCUCUGAUGUUUUCUUCUGUCUUCAUUGUUCUGUUUUUCUCAGCAGAAAUUCAAGGACUGCUUCUCUCAUUGAAUAAGCUAUUAAGGACAAAGAUGUACUCAAAGCGGACUGAGACGUCACUGCCAGUCCGAGAGGCAGACAGUGUGGCCAUCACUUUUCUGAAAGUUAAUUCCUAGAAAUGAGCAAAGCACCCUAAAAGGAGAAAAAUGAAAUGUCUGCAGUCUACAAUGUUGAAGAUUUUUAGAAUCUGACUGCAAUGGAAAAUGUUUAAUGGGCUGUAUUUAUUUCUUUAUUUUUUCUUGAGAUAGAGUCUCACUCUGUCGCCCAGGCUGGAGUACAGUGAUGGGAUCUCGGCUCAGUGCACCCUCCGCCUCCCGGGUUCAAACGAUUCUCUU
Long non-coding RNA from Sapajus apella (tufted capuchin), 3008 nucleotides. RefSeq lists it as uncharacterized. The transcript has 3 exons. NCBI's taxonomy places the organism in Eukaryota, Metazoa, Chordata, Mammalia, Primates, Cebidae. The record is from RefSeq and is a predicted model, not a curated record.